Molecule: ribosomal RNA, 440 nt
Filed under: uncultured bacterium
Lineage: Bacteria
Description: partial 16S ribosomal RNA
Rfam family: Bacterial small subunit ribosomal RNA
Source: RNAcentral
CCUACGGGAGGCAGCAGUGGGGGAUAUUGCACAAUGGGGGAAACCCUGAUGCAGCGACGCCGCGUGGGUGAAGAAGCGCCUCGGCGCGUAAAGCCCUGUCAGCAGUGAAGAAAGUGACGGUACCUGAAGAAGAAGCCCCGGCUAACUACGUGCCAGCAGCCGCGGUAAUACGUAGGGGGCAAGCGUUAUCCGGAUUUACUGGGGGUAAAGGGGGCGCAGACGGCGAUGCAAGCCAGGAGUGAAAGCCCGGGGCCCAACCCCGGGACUGCUCUUGGAACUGCGUGGCUAGAGUGCAGGAGGGGCAGGUGGAAUUCCUGGUGUAGCGGUGAAAUGCGUAGAUAUCAGGAGGAACACCGGUGGCGAAGGCGGCCUGCUGGACUGCAACUGACGUUGAGGCCCGAAAGCGUGGGGAGCAAACAGGAUUAGAUACCCUAGUAGUC